CAGUGUCAAGGACAGAGUAGCUGCAGAGGAAACUUAAAAAUGAAGUUGAUUCAAAGACCCUCCCAAACUGAGCAAGAACACCAAAAAACCUUCAAAAGCAACAUUUGCUGAGACAGCAGGAAUCAAAUUCUUCCAGAAAUUAAAUGCUUCUUUGCUCCCACUACAGACAAGAAGCCCAGUAUUGAACUUCAUGGAAACUGGACUUUCCUCAGAAAUUUUUCUUCCUCUUCUCCUUUUGUCAAUUUGGCCUCAAGUCACCACUUAAGGCCAAUAUUAGUUCAGCAUGGGUCAGAUCCCCAUUGUGUCAACAUGUCUGACAGAUGCCUUAAAGGAAAUGGUGGAAGACAAAAGCUCUUCAGUUGUUUAAACUUACGCUGCAUAAACUACUUCAGAUUAUAGAUGAACCUUGAACUCUCAGAAGUCUUUGGAGGAUGGAGCUGAAUGAUAUUCUGUGCUCUUGGGAAAAUUGUUUUCUUCUCACCACGUGGAAACAUAGACCUGGAGAAUCAGUGGAUAAUUUGAGCCAUGACGACAGAAGAUAGUGAAGCCUCUGGACCAUAUCAAGAGUGCUUCAGACGAGCAUCUGAACCUCCUGAAAAAUGAUGGGUGUAAGUCAAGUCCAUAUGACUGUGGCAUCUCUCUGAAACUUUUUCAUUCCCAGCAGUACUUUUGAGGGUGGGUGAUACAAAUAUAAUGAUGUACAAUCAUAUAAAUAAAUAUAUGCAGAAAUGGUAAGAAGUUGUGAAUUAUCCACUAAAAUAUUCCACCAAAAAUGUCAUCCUUUCUCUUUUUUUAAAAAUUUUUUUCUCCCCUGGAUUUUCCUUCUUUCUCAUUGUACUGCAAAAAAACCCAAGCUGAUCUUAAGGAAACCCAGUGUCAGUGCUCACUGAAUUUCUUUAUAAUGCACUACAUUAGAAGCGAAGCAAAGGGUUACGUCCUUCAGAAAUGUUGAACUGCACAAAUCCAUAUAUAGGUAUAUAGUCCACAAUUCUGCAGGAGCUGUUGUAUUCUCUUUUUCUCGGUUAGGAAGUUUUGGAAAUAGGAAUUUUUUCUUCCUAAUGUUAAUUUGAUUUCACUGUUUGGACUUAGAAGGUAUCUGUACGACCAUAUUCUGCCAGUGUUUCAAGAACUGUGUAUGCAGGUCUAAUCAAUAUGGUGCUAAAAUGCUGACAGAAGUCAAAAUAGGUUUUCUAGUCUAGGUGUAACAUUUCCCCUAAAACAUCCUUACUGUAGAAAAGGUGUGAAGUUCAAGGUACAUCCCGAGCAUGGUAACAGCCACCUUCAAGUCUUUUAAAUUCACUCUUUUCUGGAAUACAUACUUCCAAAAGAACUGGCCUAUUUACAGGAGGAGGUGUUCUGAAAAUCCUCUGGGAACUGCCUGCAGUGAAUGUGAUAGAGCUACAUAUAUUGCUCAAAAAUAAGAGGAAGAAAAUGUGUCCCCUCAAGAUGUUAACCAAAAAGGACACACUUUCCUCAUCUUAAACUGUAAUUAUUCUGUCUGCAUUAUAUCUGUUAUGGAGGUUAUAGCAACGAAGAAAAAUUCUGUAUUUUAGAAGGACGUUUUGACCAGCAAUAAGAAUGGGAAUAUAGUGUUGUUGUUUUCUUUUCCUUUAAUGUUAACAUCCAUUCAUCCUUAUCCAUAAAAUGAGGUAAUACACAGCAAUAAGUGAGAAAAAUUGAAAGGCAUACCUGCACCUCUGUUCGGCAGAAUCACCUAAUUAAAUGAAUUCAAAUUAUCGCCUGUUGGAUAUAGGACCUUAUAGUGAAGGACACAUAUUUUCAAAAUACUGUGCUAAAAGUAAAAUCCCAGAAAAGCUAAACAUUGAUUAUAAAUAGACUGCUCUGUGUCAGAAAACAAAUAUAUGUACAUCUUAAAAGAAACCUUUCCCGUUAGAUAGCAGUUAAAAAGCUCUACUCACCAAAAGGUUUGUACGGCAUAAAGUAUUGAAGAUUUAUUGUUUUAUGUGUUCAGAUAGUGUUGUUGUCUUGGUAGCUUAUGACGUUAUUUGGCUCAUUGAUUUAUCUUUCAUUGAUUUGUAUGAAUCUAGAUUUCCUGAGAAUGUACUCUGUCUUAGGAGUUUUUUUGGAAGGUAUUAAAAUGAUGAAAGCUGUUGAUGUGAUAGCCGUGGGGACUGAAGACAUCUAUUGAUGUUCUGCUGUUUAAGAAAACCUGAUGUAAAUUUCCCCACACUAAUCCAUUAAUUUGUCUCAAAUCUUGCUGGGAAGGAAAAUUUCUGGGGUGAUAUUUCAUCUUCCAUGUCCCUUACGUCCAUGAGUCUGAAGCUGUCAUAAGGUAAUGGUGAUGACCAAACUUCUGACACAUAAAAAAGAAUUCAAGCAUCACUAACACUGACCCUGAACAUCCAUCAGAUUAAAAGAUUCCUUUCAAAAUAUAUUUAUAGAGUCUAGUAAUGAAUUAAAGAAAACAUUACACUGCUUUCAGAAUAUCAUCUAGCUCUUCCUUGUGUUGCAUUCAGCUGUUGAUUUAGAGGUGGAAGGCUUGGUAGCCUAGUAUUGUUCCCCUGAGUCAUCUAGUCUCUGCAUCUGUGAACAUCUCUAGAGCAGUUCCAUGGUCUGUAGCAAAAUACUUAUCAGGGGAAUAAAGCUGAUUACCUGCAGACUUCCUUGCUCUGGAAUUUAAAUACAAAAUUUUGUAGCUUUUUUUCUUUCUUCCCAGAAACACUUAUAUGUAAAACCUCAGUUUGUUUUCUGUAACCUUGUUAUGAAUUUCAUUUAGAGGUACAUUCUAAUA
Molecule: non-coding RNA, 2752 nt
Organism: Phalacrocorax carbo (great cormorant)
Lineage: Eukaryota; Metazoa; Chordata; Aves; Suliformes; Phalacrocoracidae
Source: RefSeq, a predicted model, not a curated record